Molecule: ribosomal RNA, 110 nt
Filed under: Bacteroidota bacterium
Lineage: Bacteria; Pseudomonadati; Bacteroidota
Source: RNAcentral
UAAGGUGACUAUAGCGGCGGGGUCCACCUCUUCCCAUUCCGAACAGAGAAGUUAAGCCCGCCCGCGCCGAUGGUACUGCGAUUUAGUGGGAGAGUAGGUCGUCGCCCUUC